Molecule: long non-coding RNA, 318 nt
Filed under: Solanum lycopersicum (tomato)
Lineage: Eukaryota; Viridiplantae; Streptophyta; Magnoliopsida; Solanales; Solanaceae
Description: long non-coding RNA (SLYC_LNC000707)
Source: RNAcentral
AGCUCCAUUUCAGCAGCAGAUAGACUACUAAAAGCCCCUGGUGAAUUUGGGAUAUCUAUGUUAGAAUUUGAGGAACCAAAUGGAGAUUUCUUCACAGGAGACAAAGAACCUAACUGAGAAUUCCUAGUCUUGAUACCAAAAUCACCAGGUGAAGGUGGUGAAUCAGUAGGGUAAUUAAAAGUAGGAGGCAAUGUAGGGAUCUGAAUCUUCAAUUGUGAACCAAGAACAACCAUUCUGCUAACAGAAUUCAUCUCUUUAGAAUCAGAUUUUUCAUCAAUCAGAGCAUCAACAAGACCAAGACCAACCCCUUUUGAGUCA